UACGGGGGGAGCAAGCGUUGUUCGGAUUUACUGGGCGUAAAGGGCGCGUAGGCGGCGUGACAAGUCACUUGUGAAAUCUCCGGGCUUAACUCGGAGCGGCCAAGUGAUACUGUCGUGCUAGAGUGCGGAAGGGGUUACUGGAAUUCUCGGUGUAGCGGUGAAAUGCGUAGAUAUCGAGAGGAACACCUGCGGCGAAGGCGGGUAGCUGGGCCGACACUGACGCUGAGGCGCGAAAGCUAGGGGAGCGAACGGG
RNAcentral lists this ribosomal RNA (253 nucleotides) under uncultured bacterium. RNAcentral describes it as "partial 16S ribosomal RNA". It matches the Rfam family "Bacterial small subunit ribosomal RNA", at positions 524 to 776 of the family's 1533-position model. The record is from RNAcentral.